AAUACCGAUAGAAAUUGGGAAAGCAAAUAAGAAAACGAAACAAAAUCAACAUUAUUUUCAAAAGUAUGGGCGUAGCAAUAUUUGGACACAAACUUCCGCUGCAUGCUUAAUAUCCAAUAUCUAGCUCUCAAAGAUCGAGGCGUUCAUACAGAUAAACGGCGGGCAGACGGACAUGGCCAGAUCGACUCGGCUAAUGAUACUAAUCAAGAAUAUAUUUAGAUAUGUAUAUAUAUAUAGGGUCGGAAAUCGUUUUUCAAAAAUUUGUGCGUGAUCACGUCGUUCAUAAGGACAAGCGGACAGAAUUACAUACAUUUCCAACGAUUGAAGUAUAUCCGGAGACGACGUUAUUUUGAGGGACGUGAAUGCAUGCUAUACUUUCCAAUAUUAAAUAAAAACCUUCUGCAAACUGAAGAAAAACUGGGCAUAUGCGAGUUUUAGCGGUAUUACCGGGAAAAGUUCCCAAACAUUUAACAGCGGUUGUUAGAUCUUGGCUCGUCUGAAACUGUUCUCAAGUCCCCAGACUUGUAUGUAAUCGAAAAUUUAUGAACAUAAGACAAUGACAUGAGGAAUGAUGAAGAUAAGUAUGUGACUUCCCGUUGAAUUAGGGUUUUGAUCUAAUAAUAGAUGGGCCGCGGACGGAAGUUGCUGGCUUUGUCCUUGAGACUGCAUAUUUCUUUGUAAGUUUGUUCAACAUGCAUUUAAAUCCAACGUUGAUAACAUGUGUCUUAAAUCAAUAAGCCACCCUUCAGUAAACACAGUGGAUGUUGUUUACAUGAUUAGACCUCUAAGGAAAAAUAUUAUCCGUAAAAUAUGGGUAUGAAUUGUAUUAGUUAUAAAGUCAACCUAAUUUAACUAUUUUCAGAGCUGUUAAAACGAUUUACUAUAGCAAACUGAUGGAUAACAAAA
Drosophila teissieri is the source of this 906-nucleotide long non-coding RNA. RefSeq lists it as uncharacterized. The record is from RefSeq and is a predicted model, not a curated record. The transcript is spliced from 2 exons. NCBI's taxonomy places the organism in Eukaryota, Metazoa, Arthropoda, Insecta, Diptera, Drosophilidae.